CAGAUUCAGAGGUGUAGAGGAGGCACGGCGUCUGAGGCCGCUUGUACAACCCAAGGUUGCAUAGGCUAGUAUAAGCGGAGCGCCAGGAGGAGCAGACGGAGCUGGCACGCUUCAGGUCAGGAAUCUCUAGAAGGGCAAAUAUAUCCACGAGGAGUUCGUGCGGCAGCUCCGGCGAUCCACCUACUUCAAUCUCCAUGUGUGGUGGAUGAAUAUGUUCAUGUUUGAUCUUGAGGAAUUUCUUCAUUAAACUGGGGGGCAGACCUAGCAGCUUGGGUAAGACUCUGAAUACCGUUGAGAAGAACAUCCUUGGGUGUAUGGGUAAACUCCAUAAGCCAAUUGUCCUGGCUAAGCUACAAGCCUCCAUUUUUUGAAGCAAAUACGUACGGAAGAUGAAUUGCUUCAGCGGUGAUUGGAAAGCUGCAACCUCUGAUCCCCACCUAGCUGAAAUUGGAAGAACCUUUGAUUGGUACUCUGAGGUCGGAGGGCCUGGGUACUUAUGGGGAGGCCUCAAUACCAAUUCGAGCAGNCGUCAGGUAUUGGCUCCGUGCUGAUCAUAUCCCAAGUGCAAUGGUAAUGAUUUUUUACAAACAAAAUGCAGACAAAAUGCACAAUUUUUUUGAAGAGAUACAUGGACGUCACACUUUUAGACACAUCAGUCACACUUGGCGCACUUUAUCUGCGAGGAACACCUGAACGAGGAAAACAAAGACCAAGAUGUACUUUCUUAUAUUGGAAGGAAAACACAAAAACUUUGCAUAGGAAAAAGAAAGAUAAUCCCACAAGCAGAAAAAAUAAGACAUCCCUCUCGGCUUUCCCAUUGCACUAAUGAGUUUACAACAUGACUUCUCAGUUUCAACAGAGGGACGGACAGACCCUGUUCUUAACAGAUUAUAGUGCCCCUACAGAUCAGGUAGGCACAUAUAAUAUAAAAUAAGAAAAUAUAAGCGGCUCGCAGGCACGCCCCGUUACAAGAAUCCAAACAUGAAACUGGUAUUGAGUCACUCCAUUAAGGAUCUAACGAAGGAAAGUUCAUAGAUUGCCCGUCGCUGGGUUACAGUCUUGUAAGACUUGGUGUUAUCCAUAUGGGAUUAGGCCAGUUGGGCCAAAGCUGAGGGGACACAAGUUCCUCACAAGUAUUAUUUGCGAAGUCAUAGAUUCCAAUGUCACGACGGUUAUUCUUCCAUCCAAAAAGAUACAGCAAGCAAUCAUCUGUAAAAUAGGCAUGGUUUGCUUUCAGAUGUGGAUACUCUUCAACACUUAGACAAAGUGUUUGGUUGCGCCCAAGAAGCAACACAUGAUCAUCCAAGCUAUCUAUUCCCACAAGCUUUUCAGACGUGGUGUCAAAUUUAAAUAUCUUGAUAUUUGUGGUAUUAGUCAGAUAUGUUGCAGGGUCAGCAUCUUCAACAUACUCACUAUCCUCUUCGGUUCUCCAGACUUGAAGUAGACCGCCACAUGGAGCCUGGGCAAUAUAAAUAUUCUCAUAUGCAAAGUCUUUUGUAAUGUCCAUGAUUAACUCUGUUGUGACCACAGGGCCUCUGAGAUUGAAGGCGAGAAUUUUCCCUUGAGAUGUCACUGCAUAUAAUAGGCCAUCCUUGUAGAUGCAAUCAUGAAAAUAAGAGUGUUGUGGCAGCCAGGUCCACUUGUCAUCCCCUAACCUAGCAAACGAAAGCUGCCCGUCUGGACCGUGGAUAAGCACCACGAUAUGUCCACCUGCAGAUGCAUCAUAAAAUACAAAUGCCUUUUCAUGGAGGUAGCUCCGUAGCUCGGCAAGAGCAAGGAUUGAAGGUUGGAAACUACAGAACCUACUGAGCCGUGGAGAUCCCGUGUGCCGUGAGUAAUGGUACUUAGAUAAGGCACCUGCUUCAUCAAAAAUUGGAGUCACAUGCUCGAUGGUGAUCACCGACGGGAGAGCGAUCUGUUGACAGGUGAUUGGAUUUAGAAGAUGCAUCUCAGACCUCUCAUCAGCAGUAACCAGCCAGCCAUUUGUGGAGCCGAUCAGAUACCUAGUGUGCAUAGGUGGAUCCGGGAGAGUCAACUUGUAUGACCUCUUCUCUGCAAGGCUGUAGAGGAACGCAACACUCUCACCCGCAGAUUCAGAGGUGUAGAGGAGGCACGGCGUCUGAGGCCGCUUGUACAACCCAAGGUUGCAUAGGCUAGUAUAAGCGGAGCGCCAGGAGGAGCAGACGGAGCUGGCACGCUUCAGGUCAGGAAUCUCUAGAAGGGCAAAUAUAUCCACGAGGAGUUCGUGCGGCAGCUCCGGCGAUCCACCUACUUCAAUCUCCAUGUGUGGUGGAUGAAUAUGUUCAUGUUUGAUCUUGAGGAAUUUCUUCAUUAAAC
RNAcentral lists this long non-coding RNA (2337 nucleotides) under Hordeum vulgare. RNAcentral's name for it is "long non-coding RNA (HVUL_LNC005908)". The record is from RNAcentral. Lineage: Eukaryota; Viridiplantae; Streptophyta; Magnoliopsida; Poales; Poaceae.